UCGAGGUGGAAGCAUGGUGAUAUGUGGAGCUGACGAAUACUAAUAGAUCGAGGACUUAACCAUA
This 64-nucleotide ribosomal RNA is filed under the name Bacillus anthracis (anthrax bacterium). Its description in RNAcentral is "partial 23S ribosomal RNA". The record is from RNAcentral. Lineage: Bacteria; Bacillati; Bacillota; Bacilli; Caryophanales; Bacillaceae.